AAACCAACUGGGAUUACCUUAGUAACGGCGAGUGAAGCGGUAAAAGCUCAAAUUUGAAAUCUGGUACUUUCAGUGCCCGAGUUGUAAUUUGUAGAAUUUGUCUUUGAUUAGGUCCUUGUCUAUGUUCCUUGGAACAGGACGUCAUAGAGGGUGAGAAUCCCGUUUGGCGAGGAUACCUUUUCUCUGUAAGACUUUUUCGAAGAGUCGAGUUGUUUGGGAAUGCAGCUCAAAGUGGGUGGUAAAUUCCAUCUAAAGCUAAAUAUUGGCGAGAGACCGAUAGCGAACAAGUACAGUGAUGGAAAGAUGAAAAGAACUUUGAAAAGAGAGUGAAAAGGUACGUGAAAUUGUUGAAAGGGAAGGGCAUUUGAUCAGACAUGGUGUUUUUGCAUGCACUCGCCUCUCGUGGGCUUGGGCCUCUCAAAAAUUUCACUGGGCCAACAUCAAUUUUGGCGGCAGGAAAAAUCUUUUGGAAUGUAGCUACCUCGGUAUGUUAUAGCCUUUUGAAAUACUGUCAGCUGGGAUUGA
Molecule: ribosomal RNA, 525 nt
Filed under: uncultured Hanseniaspora
Lineage: Eukaryota; Fungi; Ascomycota; Saccharomycetes; Saccharomycodales; Saccharomycodaceae
Description: eukaryotic LSU rRNA
Rfam family: Eukaryotic large subunit ribosomal RNA
Source: RNAcentral